AUAUAAAAUUAAAAAACGUGUUCGAUCUAACCAAAUGCGUACAACAAUUUUCGGAUACGCCUUCGAUGUUCGAUGUAGCAAAUAUUCUUAAUCAAAGCCUACAAAUUCGAGAAAACAUCGUUACAUCUCAUUCAAGAGAUCAAAACACAAAUUUAUGAUAAAAAGUUAUGCUAUAGCUAUGCUUUUUAUCUCUUACUUUUUUUUUCACGAAUGUUGCAAAAUUGUACAAGAUCAUUCGAACGAAUCGGAAAUGUUUAAAUAUUGAGAAAAAGGAAAAUUUAUAAAAUUAUAAAAUUUAUAAAAAAAUGAAGGAAGUAAAAACAAUAUUACGUAGGAUAUGGAAUAAACGAAUAAGGAUUCUAUAAAGAAUGCAUUCGUCAUUCGUAGAGAAUCGAUCGAUCUUUUUGGACGAUGACUCGUCCAUCCAAAACGUGAUCUCGUGACCGUUAUAUUAAUCAGAUGUAUCUGCAAUGGCCGAUGUUUACGUUGUUGAUAUUUCUUGGCAGAGUGGCUUUUCGACACCGGUACAUUAUACGCAUAUUUUCUUGACACACGGAAGCACGAUAUAUCAAGGAUAUCAGGGUGUUUCUCGUGGAAUUCAGACGAUACAUAUGCAAACCAGUUGUGAAUAUCUCGUAUCACGAUUAAUUCGUGAAAUACCAACGAACCUUGUCGCUGUUCGAUAAUUUCGGUCACGGAAUCCAGUUUUCUUCUGGGUCAAGGAUAACCUUUCACGAUAUACCUACACUUUACACCUACGCUCGAGACACUGACCUGAUAUUCAUGAAAAUAACAUCUCUUUUCGCGAUAUGCAAUUUCUCAAACAGAUCGCAAUUCUUCUUCUUAACUCUAAUAUCUCUAAUAUAAUAAUUCGUUAUCCUCUACGCGAUAUUAUUCCCGAUAAACGGUCGAGGAUGCGCGUCAUCGAUCUCCAAUCCGAUACAGCGAAAGAUUACGUUGGCAAAUACGUCCGUUGGAAUUUUAUAAAUCGUUAAUGAUACUCGCGUCAGUCAGUGAUUCAAUCGACCUCCGUUCCCUAUAAAACAGCCGUCUCAACUUAACAGAUAAAGAAUACAGAGAAGCAGAAAAGAUACAAGAUAGAGGCGAUUUUAAAAAAAAUAGAAAAUUUAUUAAACAUAUCUAACGGUGCCGUUUCGUAUCAGAGACGGCUACAAGUAUUCGGCCAAGCUUUUUUUUUCAACAGUUCGGUCUCUCUAUCUAUGAAGGAGGGGCAGUAGGAGUGGAAGGAAUUCAAGGAUUUCUCGAAUCGCCAAGAUUCUCUUACUUACCUGCAGCGUUAUUUAAAAAAAAUCUCGAUUCGAGUAAUCCGCGCAACAACAAAGAGGAAAUAGGGAGAAAAAAAUAGAAAGACGGGGAUAAAAAGAAUACGUAACGUGGUCGUUGAUAACAGUUCGCCUGUCAACGUAUGGAAAUUCACCGAUUUCACGUUUCACCAUUUAUCUUUACAAAAUAUUUUUACGUUCGUUUCGGAUUGGGCAAAAGAUCGUUUCGAUAAAACUGUUGUACUCGCUGUCGCCAUUAAUUUUUCAUCUUUAUCAGUGGACAGAAUAUUCCGAUUUGAUUUUUUUUUUUCUUUUUGCAGAGGAAUUCAUUGGCGAAUCGAAUAGAAAGGCGUAUAUACCUUGGAACGAAACAUCAUAGGCGAAAAGGAGGACAACGAUCGCGUGUCGAGUUGAUGAAGGAGGAAUCGCGAUCGCGCCUUCUACUCCGUCGGAUUCAACUUUUACUUCUUUUGCCGAUUAUCGUCCCCUUAAACGGCGAUAAUAAUUCAUCGACGAUACGUUUUCGCCACCGUGUAGAUGAACUCAAUGGACCAGGCCAAAAAUGUACACUUGACCGACUGGUUGUGUCGCCCGAACGUUAUAACGGCCGAAUGGUUGCUCACCCAUUUGCAUAUCAUGUCCAGUCAUUAAGGUAGCAAAUUAGGGAGGUUGCGCCCGGUUUCGAAGCCUUCCAAGCAAGGGUUCCCUCUCGUUUGCACUCCCUGUACGAUCGUUUGGCUCGAGGAAACACAAAAAAAAAAAAAAGAA
This 2051-nucleotide long non-coding RNA is filed under the name Apis florea (little honeybee). Its description in RNAcentral is "uncharacterized LOC105735675". The record is from RNAcentral. Lineage: Eukaryota; Metazoa; Arthropoda; Insecta; Hymenoptera; Apidae.